Molecule: ribosomal RNA, 433 nt
Filed under: actinobacterium BAL196
Lineage: Bacteria; Bacillati; Actinomycetota; Actinomycetes
Description: bacterial SSU rRNA
Rfam family: Bacterial small subunit ribosomal RNA
Source: RNAcentral
GGCGUGCUUAACACAUGCAAGUCGAGCGGUAAGGCCUUUCGGGGUACACGAGCGGCGAACGGGUGAGUAACACGUGGGUGAUCUGCCCUGCACUUCGGGAUAAGCCUGGGAAACUGGGUCUAAUACCGGAUAUGACCUCCUAUCGCAUGGUGGGUGGUGGAAAGAUUUAUCGGUGCAGGAUGGGCCCGCGGCCUAUCAGCUUGUUGGUGGGGUAAUGGCCUACCAAGGCGACGACGGGUAGCCGACCUGAGAGGGUGACCGGCCACACUGGGACUGAGACACGGCCCAGACUCCUACGGGAGGCAGCAGUGGGGAAUAUUGCACAAUGGGCGAAAGCCUGAUGCAGCGACGCCGCGUGAGGGAUGACGGCCUUCGGGUUGUAAACCUCUUUCAGCAGGGACGAAGCGCAAGUGACGGUACCUGCAGAAGAAGC